Molecule: ribosomal RNA, 440 nt
Filed under: uncultured bacterium
Lineage: Bacteria
Description: partial 16S ribosomal RNA
Rfam family: Bacterial small subunit ribosomal RNA
Source: RNAcentral
CCUACGGGAGGCAGCAGUAGGGAAUAUUGCUCAAUGGGGGAAACCCUGAAGCAGCAACGCCGCGUGGAGGAUGAAGGUUUUAGGAUUGUAAACUCCUUUUGUGAGAGAAGAUAAUGACGGUAUCCCACGAAUAAGCACCGGCUAACUCCGUGCCAGAAGCCGCGGUAAUACGGAGGGUGCCAGCGUUACUCGGAAUCACUUGGCGUAAAGAGGGCGCAGGCGGGCAGGUAAGUCCGAUGUGAAAUCCUGUAGCUUAACUACAGAAGUGCAUUUGAAACUAGGAGUCUAGAGUGUGGGAGAGGUAGGUGGAAUUCUUGGUGUAGGGGUAAAAUCCGUAGAUAUCAAGAGGAAUACUCAGUGCGAAGGCGACCUACUGGAACAUUACUGACGCUCAUGCACGAAAGCGUGGGUAGCAAACAGGAUUAGAUACCCCUGUAGUC